AUUAGCUAGUUGGUGGGGUAACGGCCUACCAAGGCGACGAUCAGUAGCCGGCCUGAGAGGGUGGACGGCCACACUGGGACUGAGACACGGCCCAGACUCCUACGGGAGGCAGCAGUGGGGAAUAUUGCGCAAUGGGGGAAACCCUGACGCAGCGACGCCGCGUGAGCGAAGAAGGCCUUAGGGUUGUAAAGCUCUGUUUUCAGGAAAGAACGUCGCGGGUAAUAAUACGAUCCGCGAAUGACGGUACCUGAAGAGGAAGCCCCGGCUAACUACGUGCCAGCAGCCGCGGUAAGACGUAGGGGGCGAGCGUUGUCCGGAAUUACUGGGCGUAAAGAGCACGUAGGCGGGACUUUAAGUCAGGUGUGAAAGACCGAGGCUCAACCUCGGGGUUGCACUUGAAACUGGAGUUCUUGAGGGCAGGAGAGGAAAGCAGAAUUCCUGGUGUAGCGGUGAAAUGCGUAGAAAUCAGGAGGAAUACCAGUGGCGAAGGCGGCUUUCUGGACUGACCCUGACGCUGAGGUGCGAAAGCGUGGGUAGCAAACAGGAUUAGAUACCCUGGUAGUCCACGCUGUAAAC
RNAcentral lists this ribosomal RNA (576 nucleotides) under uncultured bacterium. Its description in RNAcentral is "bacterial SSU rRNA". It matches the Rfam family "Bacterial small subunit ribosomal RNA", at positions 240 to 807 of the family's 1533-position model. The record is from RNAcentral.